RNAcentral lists this ribosomal RNA (442 nucleotides) under uncultured bacterium. RNAcentral's name for it is "bacterial SSU rRNA". It matches the Rfam family "Bacterial small subunit ribosomal RNA", at positions 302 to 735 of the family's 1533-position model. The record is from RNAcentral.
GCCCCGCGCCCGUCCCUCCGCCACCGGCCGCAUACGGGAGGCAGCAGUGGGGAAUAUUGGACAAUGGGCGCAAGCCUGAUCCAGCCAUACCGCGUGGGUGAAGAAGGCCUUCGGGUUGUAAAGCCCUUUUGUUGGGAAAGAAAUCCAGCCGGCUAAUACCUGGUUGGGAUGACGGUACCCAAAGAAUAAGCACCGUGCUAGAGCUUCUGUGCCAGGCAUGCCGCGGUAAUACGAAGGGUGCAAGCGUUACUCGGGAUUACUGGGCGUAUAGCGUGCGUAGGUGGUCGUUUAAGUCCGUUGUGAAAGCCCUGGGCUCAACCUGGGAACUGCAGUGGAUACUGGGCGACUAGAGUGUGGUAGAGGGUAGCGGAAUUCCUGAGUGUAGCAGUGAAAUGCGUAGAGAUCAGGAGGAACAUCCAUGGCGAAGGCAGCUACCUGGACC